GAUUAAGUUAUUAAGGGCGCACGGUGGAUGCCUUGGCACUAGAAGCCGAUGAAGGACGUUACUAACGACGAUAUGCUUUGGGGAGCUGUAAGUAAGCUUUGAUCCAGAGAUUUCCGAAUGGGGAAACCCAGCAUGAGUUAUGUCAUGUUAUCGAUAUGUGAAUACAUAGCAUAUCUGAAGGUAGACGCGGAGAACUGAAACAUCUUAGUACCCGCAGGAAGAGAGAAAAAUCGAUUCCCUGAGUAGCGGCGAGCGAAACGGAAGAGCCCAAACCAACGAGCUUGCUUGUUGGAGACACUCUAUACGGAGUUACAAAGAAUAAACUAGACGAAUCAUCUGGAAAGAUGAAUCAAAGAAGGUAAUAAUCCUGUAGUCGAAAGUUUAUUCACUCUUGAGUGGAUCCUGAGUACGACGGAACACGAGAAAUUCCGUCGGAAUCCGGGAGGACCAUCUCCCAAGGCUAAAUACUCUCUAGUGACCGAUAGUGAACCAGUACCGUGAGGAAAGGUGAAAAGUACCGGAAGGGGGUGAAAUAGAACUUGAAACCGUGUGCACAAGUAGUCAGAGCCCGUUAAUGGGUGAUGGCGUGCCUUUGUAGAAUGAACCGGCGAGUUACGAUUUGAUGCAAGGUUAAGCAGUGAAUGUGGAGCCGUAGCGAAAGCGAGUCUGAAUAGGGCGUUGAGUAUUUGGUCGUAGACCCGAAACCAGGUGAUCUACCCAUGACCAGGUUGAAGUUCAGGUAACACUGAAUGGAGGACCGAACCGACUUACGUUGAAAAGUGAGCGGAUGAGUUGUGGGUAGCGGAGAAAUUCCAAUCGAACCUGGAGAUAGCUGGUUCUCUCCGAAAUAGCUUUAGGGCUAGCCUCAAGUGAUGAUUAUUGGAGGUAGAGCACUGUUUGGACGAGGGGCCCUUAUCGGGUUACCGAAUUCAGACAAACUCCGAAUGCCAAUCAAUUUAACUUGGGAGUUAGAACGCGGGUGAUAAGGUCCGUGUUCGAAAGGGAAACAGCCCAGACCAGCUAAGGUCCCAAAAUAUAUGUUAAGUGGAAAAGGAUGUGGCGUUGCCCAGACAACUAGGAUGUUGGCUUAGAAGCAGCCAUCAUUUAAAGAGUGCGUAAUAGCUCACUAGUCGAGUGACACUGCGCCGAAAAUGUACCGGGGCUAAACAUAUUACCGAAGCUGUGGAUUGUCCGUAAGGACAAUGGUAGGAGAGCGUUCUAAGGGCGUUGAAGCAUGAUCGCAAGGACAUGUGGAGCGCUUAGAGUGAGAAUGCCGGUGUGAGUAGCGAAAGACGGGUGAGAAUCCCGUCCACCGAUUGACUAAGGUUUCCAGAGGAAGGCUCGUCCGCUCUGGGUUAGUCGGGUCCUAAGCUGAGGCCGAUAGGCGUAGGCGAUGGAUAACAGGUUGAUAUUCCUGUACCACCAUAAUUCGUUUUAAGCGAUGGGGGACGCAGUAGGAUAGGCGAAGCGUACUAUUGGUUGUACGUCCAAGCAGUAAGACUGAGUGUUAGGCAAAUCCGGCACUCUUAAGGUCAAGCUGUGAUGGGAGAGGUUUCCUCGAGUCGUUGAUUUCACACUGCCAAGAAAAGCCUCUAGCUAGAAUUGUGGUGCCCGUACCGCAAACCGACACAGGUAGUCAAGAUGAGAAUUCUAAGGUGAGCGAGCUCUCGUUAAGGAACUCGGCAAAAUGACCCGUAACUUCGGGAGAAGGUGCUCUUUAGGGUUGCCCAGAGCCGCAGUGAAUAGGCCCAAGCGACUGUUUAUCAAAAACACAGGUCUCUGCUAAACCGUAAGGUGAUGUAUAGGGCUGACCGGUGCUGGAAGGUUAAGAGGUGGUUAGCUUCUGCGAAGCUACGAAUCGAAGCCCCAGUAAACGGCCGUAACUAUAACGGUCCUAAGGUAGCGAAAUUCCUUGUCGGGUAAGUUCCGACCCGCACGAAAGGCGUAACGAUUUGGGCACUGUCUCAACGAGAGACUCGGUGAAAUCAUAGUACCUGUGAAGAUGCAGGUUGCGACAGGACGGAAAGCCCCGUGGAGCUUUACUGUAGUCUGAUAUUGAAAUUCGGCACAGCUUGUACAGGAUAGGUAGGAGCCUGAGAUGCGUGAGCGCUAGCACGUGGAGGCGUUGGUGGGUACUACCCUCGCUGUGUUGGAUUUCUAACCCGCACCAUUUAUCAUGGUGGGAGACAGUGUCAGAUGGGCAGUUUGACUGGGGCGGUCGCCUCCUAAAGAGUAACGGAGGCGCUCAAGGUU
Molecule: ribosomal RNA, 2253 nt
Filed under: Staphylococcus xylosus
Lineage: Bacteria; Bacillati; Bacillota; Bacilli; Caryophanales; Staphylococcaceae
Description: partial 23S ribosomal RNA
Rfam family: Bacterial large subunit ribosomal RNA
Source: RNAcentral